RNAcentral lists this small RNA (2369 nucleotides) under Pan troglodytes (chimpanzee). RNAcentral's name for it is "retained intron". The record is from RNAcentral. Lineage: Eukaryota; Metazoa; Chordata; Mammalia; Primates; Hominidae.
GCUGUGCCACUGCCACCGCCGCCGCCGCUGCAUCCCGCCCGGUCCGAGUCCGCCCGCCACGCCCGCCGAGCUGCUGCCGCCGCCAGUCUCUCAGCCACUCCACCCACGAGAUGGUGAGUCUUCUGUGGUCCCUCCCCCACAAGGCCCAAGUCCCUGGGCAGAGAGUGGGCCCAGAGGACAGCAGGCAGCACCUAGGACCUAAGCCUGGGAGUUGCCCCCUGCAGACAGCUUAGACCCACGACCAGCUCCCUUACCCCCACCCUGCGGCUGCAUCCUGGGAGGUGGGCACUCUUAGUGCCCUGUGACAUUCAUUCAUUCCAUGGCCCCUCAGGGAGCUCACCUUCUAGGAGACGGCACAGAGGCUCUGGCCCUGGCAAACUGGGAUUCGAGCCCAGGCAUGAGGCCCAGUCCUCUGCCGUCUGGGCCACAGCACACCAUCGCCCAACAACCAAGAGAUUCUCUUCGUCCCAGCCUCAUCAGCCCCCAGGGGAUGGGAGAGGGCAGGCACCAGGCAACAAGGUCCAAAGAGACCUCACAACUUGCUCAAGGUGGCCGAGCCUGUCCCCUGGAGGACAGACUCAGCUGCCAGGCCUGUCCAGGCCUGGGGACUGCAAAGAACAAGAAUUCCAUUCACACGAAGCCUCCCAGCAGCCCCAUAUUGGGGGGGCGCCAGCCUCAGAGAGGGGAGGGACGUUAGGUUUCAUCCAAAGAAAGCAUUUCCAUGACUCAAAAUAUCUGCAGGGGGGAUACUGUCUAGCCUUCUAAUGUUUAGCCCAGGGCUGGGCACACAGUAGGGCUUCAAGACCUACGUGGGGAUGACAGUGGAAUCACAUUUAGGUGUCAGCACACUCCAUGCCGGGUCAUGAGACAGAAAUAAGCCACCUCAGAGUGAUGGCUGGGUUCGUUCAUUCAUCUACUCUUCAGUCAACAAACACUUACUGAGAAGUGGCUGUGUGCCAGGCACGCUUUAGGUGCUGGGGUUGCCUCCAUGAACAAAACAAGCAGAAAACUCUGCUGCUGUGAAGCAAGCUAAGGCGGAGCCCAGCAUGGCAGGGGCGGGAGGGGCUGGCCGGCAAGACACUGCUUCCUGUCAUCCCCCCAGGGGCACCACACAGAACAGUUUACAAAGCACUCCCACGGUUGCGUUCCCAUUAACAAGCCUUCACCCCCAACACAAGCCUUUCCUCUCCUAGUCCCCGGGACGGUGUCAGCCCUGAACAUAGCCCAGGCUGGGAGAGUGGGGGGCUUACACCCUUGGGUGACUUAAUGUGCCCACUGGCCCACCCUGCCCAAGACCUACCACUUCUGCUCUCUCAGCUCUCCCUGGAUCCAUCGGGUCCCGAGUGGGAUUGCCCACUGGGUUCCAAGGACCUGGAGGAAGAGGGCCCCUGGGGAGGGGGCUCUGGCCUGCCGCCCACAGGCUGCUUCCCUGGCUCCUGGCGCCAGGACGUGGGCCUGGACUGCAAGGGAUCCCCCGAGGGGGCCGAGGCCCGGGCUUGGACUGUCUACUACUACAGCCUCCUGCAGAGCUGUCUGCAGCAAGCUGGCCUUCCGGAGACCCAGGACCGCAGCCAGGUGCCCCGCACAGGCUGUCCUGGGGCGGAGGUGACCUUGUGCGUUCUGGGCUCCCCCAGCACCUUUCUGCCUGUGCUGCUGGAGGGUGGGGUCCAGAGCCCGGGAAACAUGCUCCUUUGCCUGUCCCCUGCUUGGCUGAUGAAGGUGCCAGCACCCGGGCAGCCGGGUGAGGCAGCCCUGCUAGUCUCCAAGGCUGUGAGCUUCCACCCUGGGGGCCUGACAUUCCUGGAUGACUUUGUCCCCCCGCGCCGUGCCACCUACUUUUUGGCAGGCCUGGGCCUGGGGCCUGGCCGGGGCCGAGAGGCAGCAGAACUCGCCCGUGACCUGACCUGCCCCACAGGAGCUUCGGCUGAGCUGGCCCGGCUGCUGGAAGACCGGCUGCUGACAAGGCAGUUGCUGGCCCAGCAGGGUGGUGUGGCUGUGCCAGCAACCCUGGCUUUCACCUACAAGCCGCCGGGGCUGCUGCGGGGAGGGGAUGCCAGCCUAGGGCUACGGCUGGUGGAGCUGAGUGGCAAAGAGGGCCAGGAGACGCUGGUGAAAGAGGAAAGGACCUGGCUGGGCCCCAAGCCUUGGACAAAUCCUGGGAAAACCUGAGACUAGAACCCUUGUCUUCCUCUUACCCAAAUUCUAGGAUAGCUCUAGAGCCUGCUGGAAACUUGGUGGCAUCCAACCUGCCUCAUUUGGCCUGAGCGGUAGAGGCAGGUGGCCUGUGGACAGAAGUAAUCCUCUUUCUGCUCACCCCAGGCAGACACAACUGCCUAUGUUCCCCCGAUGAGAGGAAACAGGCUGAGAGA